AUUGAACGCUGGCGGCAUGCCUAACACAUGCAAGUCGAACGGCAGCACGGCAGUAGCAAUACUGUGGGUGGCGAGUGGCGGACGGGUGAGGAAUACGUCGGAAUCUGCCCAGUCGUGGGGGAUAACUAGCCGAAAGGUUAGCUAAUACCGCGUACGACCGAGAGGUGAAAGCGGGGGACCGCAAGGCCUCGCGCGAUUGGAUGAGCCGACGUCGGAUUAGCUAGUUGGUGGGGUAAAGGCCCACCAAGGCGACGAUCCGUAGCUGGUCUGAGAGGAUGAUCAGCCACACUGGAACUGAGACACGGUCCAGACUCCUACGGGAGGCAGCAGUGGGGAAUAUUGGACAAUGGGCGCAAGCCUGAUCCAGCAAUGCCGCGUGUGUGAAGAAGGCCUCGGUUG
RNAcentral lists this ribosomal RNA (399 nucleotides) under uncultured bacterium. Its description in RNAcentral is "bacterial SSU rRNA". It matches the Rfam family "Bacterial small subunit ribosomal RNA", at positions 29 to 425 of the family's 1533-position model. The record is from RNAcentral.